AAGGGGUCCAGGUCAGAGUUUAGAGCUUUCAAAUCCCAACUUGCCCCUGGGGAUUGCGCGGCUGAUGUUUAGAUAUCAAGUCAUCAGGGUCUGGCUGUGUAAAAGUUCAAAGUAUUGAGUGUGAUAAUUGCAAAAUUGAAACAGAGCAUGGGACUAGCAUCUUGCAGUCUGUUAAG
RNAcentral lists this small RNA (176 nucleotides) under Pan troglodytes (chimpanzee). Its description in RNAcentral is "processed transcript". Lineage: Eukaryota; Metazoa; Chordata; Mammalia; Primates; Hominidae. The record is from RNAcentral.